This 327-nucleotide ribosomal RNA is filed under the name uncultured Pseudomonadota bacterium. RNAcentral describes it as "bacterial SSU rRNA". It matches the Rfam family "Bacterial small subunit ribosomal RNA", at positions 29 to 351 of the family's 1533-position model. The record is from RNAcentral. Lineage: Bacteria; Pseudomonadati; Pseudomonadota.
AGUGAACGCUGGCGGCAGGCCUAACACAUGCAAGUCGAACGGCAGCACAGCAGUAGCAAUACUGUGGGUGGCGAGUGGCGGACGGGUGAGGAAUACAUCGGGAUCUACCCGGUUGUGGGGGAUAACGUAGGGAAACUUACGCUAAUACCGCAUACGACCGAGAGGUGAAAGCGGCGGACCGCAAGGCGUCGCGCGAUCGGAUGAACCGAUGUCGGAUUAGCUAGUUGGUGAGGUAAAGGCUCACCAAGGCGACGAUCCGUAGCUGGUCUGAGAGGAUGAUCAGCCACACUGGAACUGAGACACGGUCCAGACACCUACGGGAGGCUG